AUGGCAACGAACGCUGGAGAUGCUUUAGUCCCCAGAGAAAGAGGGUCACGGGACGGGAGGAGACUACUUGUAAUCCCGGGAGAAAGGACCGGUUCGGAGAGCAGCGGUGCGCGACAGAAAACCAAGUGUCCCGGGCACCCUUUAGACUCCCAAACAACAACCACCCGGAGAGUCCGUCUGCGCUCGGAAGCGCCGGACGGGGGCCCCGGGCUGAGACAGUUCAGCAGCCGCACACCGUGGGCAGGAGAUAAAUCAAAAGAUGAUGGCAGGGCAAGGGGGCGCCGAGAAUACGCUACUCCGCGGGGGAGACAAAGGCUCCGGGGUGAUCGGGGAGCACGCAGAGAGGAUUCCUUGGCCCCGGCAAUUUGACUUUUUUUUACAAGCUUGCAUUAAGCUUUACAUAGCUUGUUAACGUGUACAGCAAUUCAAGAAGGCAAAGGAAGAAAACGAACAGGCCAUUUACUCUAGUGACAUGGAAGGUGAAUGGCAUCAAAGGCACAUUUGGUGAGGGGAAUGGGUACCGACCUCACAAUUUGUCAGAAGUUUUCAUGGUCAUGUGUAAUUAGAAGAAAAUGUUUCCAUGUGUGAUUGCUAUAUUUUCUCUAUUUUGUAACAUGAAAGAAUAAAAAAAGGCGGUUAACACUAAAGAAAUAGUAACACCAUGUGAAUCAUAAAAAUUCCAGUUAUCUGUUUAUAAAGGAAUAUGUUUAAAAUUUGAUUUUUUAAAAUGUUCCCCCUUUUUAUGUAUCCUGUGUUGCAGUGGCUUUGGUUUCUGUGCGAAGCCAGUGUCAAACAACCAUAGUUUUAAAAAAAUGAGCUGGGACAUAAACAAAAGAGCUUGGAUAGCUCCAGCACUGAGUCCAAAGUCUCCACUACUACCUAACUAGCUGGCCAGCUUUUAGAAGAUUUCAGUUUUCCUCAUCUGCAAAUGGGGAGCAUGAAACUUGCUACGCAAGAUCAUUUUUGAGAGGCAUUUGAAAUAUUAGGUGAAUUAGGUGGGUACACAGUAAGCACUUGGUAAAUGUUAUUUCACUCAGUAAACUCUCCUAUCCGUACUUGGGUUCCAUUUUCUUAUCUAGUAGAUGGACAAACACCACCUGUCUUAGAGCUUUGCUGUGUGCAUCAAAUUAGAUAAUUACGUAGACAAUGGAAAGAACUGUCUUUAAGAAAGGCAGUGGUACUUAAUUUUUGACUGGCACAUAUGCUUUUUUAAAAUUGACGGUGGUUAUAUAGCAAAACAACAAAAAAGAUUCCUGCAGUUUCUUCUCUGGCCUAUAUCACUAUUGACCUUGCACCUUGAAAAGAAUGGUUCUUAUCACUUUUUCAAAGUAAACCUUGCAGAAAGUUUCCACUCUUUGCUUCUGUAUUGUUUUGUGUCACUGAUGGUGUAAUGAUAUGUAUCACCUUAUGCAGAGAACCUUUGUGGCUAGCAUCCUUGUCCAAAGCAGAUUCAAGACUAGAUUAAUCAUGGAACAUGUCUACUCAGCCCAGUGAAAUACUGAACUCUAGCACAGCUGACUAACUGAUAAUUCUCUUGAACAUCAUAAUGAAAGUUGUAUAUUGCCUGUAUUAAUAACUGCUGUUGUCAUUAUGUAAAUUUAAAAACUAAUUCAUUUAAAAUUUUUUAAUUUUCAAUUUAAUUUAAUUUUAAUUUUUAAUUUGUGAUGUCAGCAUGUUAUUCCCUUUAAUGAUUUGAUCAAUCUUCUAUUCUCACAUCUGGUAAUCUGAGCAACUUUUUUGAAGAUAAUAAUAUGUAAUAUAACAACCAUUGUUAAUCCCUAUCAUUUGGUUUCAAACCCUGUAUCAUUUUUAACAUCCUUGCUUUGUUUUGUUUGUAUUUUGCUAUUGUUCCUUUUUUGUACUAUUUUCUUUAAAAUAAAAAUUAUUUAUUUAUUUAUUUAUUUAUUUUUUGGUGCCAGGAAUGGAACUCAUGACCUUACACUUGCCAGGCAGGCACCAUGCCAUUGAGCUACAUCCUCUGCCCUAAAAUAAAAACUAAAAAAACAAAUCUUGGGGAUUUAUUACAAGAAAAAAUCCAUGAUUAUUUCUAACUAAAUUAUUACUAGCUAGUGAGUACACAUUUAUUGAUACACAAUAGAUUUGUUUGAAAAGUUCCAUCUCAGUGUAACAGUAACAUAGUUCAUUUGAAAAAUGCACUAGAAAAACAAUUUAAAGGAAUCCAUAAUAUACUGUGUUAGGUAUUAUAACUGGUAUUGCCAGUAUGUAUUUUUUGCUACUUGAGUAUUUAACUGAGUUCUAUGAUGAUUAGUGUCCUGUGGAUAGUAAAAUAAAUUACAUUAAAGUGUUAUGAAUAUUCCACUAAUGGAAAAAACAUUUCUGAAGACCGUAGCUACAAAUGGCCUCCCAUCCAAGUCCUUUGAAAAGAUUUGGAAAUUCAUACAUUCUUUUUCUUUCUUUCCAGCUUUCCAGACACGUGGCCUAAAUUCUACCCUCAGAAUUACUUUUGACUUCAGUGAGAGUUAUAAACUAUCGCCUGAGACAAGCACUUGGCUCC
Long non-coding RNA from Chinchilla lanigera (long-tailed chinchilla), 2515 nucleotides. The record is from Ensembl. Lineage: Eukaryota; Metazoa; Chordata; Mammalia; Rodentia; Chinchillidae.